Long non-coding RNA from Equus caballus (horse), 2676 nucleotides. The record is from Ensembl. NCBI's taxonomy places the organism in Eukaryota, Metazoa, Chordata, Mammalia, Perissodactyla, Equidae.
GGAGACGAACACGCUUGCGGCCCACUCUCCCCACCCCACGUCUUCCCUUGGUAAGGAAUUUGGAUCCUCAUCCAGUCCUUCUGGUUUUUGUUAUACUCUGAGGCUCACCUGAGGCUCUGUGAUAAAGGAUGGACCACAUAUUGUGUCUUCAACAAAGACCAUCUCAGUGACGCAUGGGAAAGAAGUGUACCAGGAGGAGAGUCACUGUCUAAGGUCACAGAGCCAGCUCAGAGUGCUCCGCUGCUCCUGGGGUUGCAGAGGGGCUACAGAGGGGCUGCAGAGGGUAUGAGCCAAGAAGGAGGCUUAUGGGACCACCUCAUACACAUUAAGAUGGCUACUAUCAAAAAAACAACAACCAGAAAAUGACAAGUGUUGGCAGGAUGUGGAGACAUUGGAAGCUGGUGCUUUGCUGGUGGGAAAGUAGAAGUUGCAGCAGCUAUGGAAAAUGCUCCAACGGUCCCUCAAAAGGCUGAAAUCAGAGACCUCCGUGGUGUUUCAGAGGACAGGAGGGUGUGCAGAGGACGCCCCAGAAAUCUUUCCCACAGGAGAAAGGCUCAGAAGACCAAGCCAGCUACCCUACAGUCACCAAAGGCCCCCAUGUGGUGGAGCAGGGGAGCAGGGCAGCUGGGUCCUGAAGGAGAAGGUUCCUGAACUGCCUGGGGACAGCAAAAAUGAUGACUUUUCUAAAGCCCACCUGGAGCUGCUUGGAAGCAGAUCCUGAAUACGUGGCUCUAGAAGGCAAGACCCUGUGACUCACAGGGCCUUGGGCAUCCUGCAUCUCAGGAAUGCCAGUGUUCAUGGACAGCAGACUGCCCGAGGUGUAAUCGGUGUCUUCCCGGUGCUAGCUGUUUACUUGCACACAUCUAGGCAAACUUCUCAGCCUCCCCUGGCCUCCAUUACAGGAAAACAGGAAUUCUCUCCUGCCCCUACCUCACAGGAUGGGCCUAGGACCAGCUGAUGUGCUGGUUAACACAGACCUUUCCAGAGAGACGUGCUCAUCAGAUACAAGGCAGGCAUAUCCUCAUCAUUUUGAGUACAUUGACAAUUAGCCCAAGGAGAACCCGCAGGGCUGGGACCACCCUAAUGUGGCACAAAGGGAAGCCAGUGGAGAGCCAACUGAGAGCUCUGGCCUGUCAGGUUGUAUAGAAAUGUCACAGAGAGAGUAGCUCUCAUAGCUGACAACACCCUGUGGGGGGCUGGGGCUGAGGCAAGGAACAGAGAGGAGAAACUCCUUAAGCAAAGGAUCUAGUAGUGUCUUUCUCUCAAGACAGGCCUUUCAAGGAGCAACUUGCUCCACACCAGACUUUUUCUCUUUUCCAAAAGCUCAAGCUCCUCUUCCUCACGAUGACAGCCAUGGUGGUCUCCAGCUGACACUGUAUUCACUCUAGGAAUGACUUCAAGGUGGGUUUCCUGAUGGCUCAUGAAGGUAGCUUCGCUAAACCACACACUGUAAAUCAAGUACAUUUUUCCAGCCAUUUGCAUUGAAAAUGGCAGGCAUUUGGCCACACACUUUGUGGAGGGAUGCACUUGUCGGUUGCCUUCGAAGAAGAGCAGAGUGAGGAGCGCUGGGAGGACGAGAGAGCACGGGCUGAGCAGCAUAGGGGGAAGGACACCAAGCUCAAGAGGCAGCUACAUGAGAUAGUGAAGAAGGACAGCCGUCUUGGGAUUCCUCUGCAGGGCUAUCAAGUUAAUUCCACGUGCUGAGGUCAUGGAGUGUCACGUGGGGUACUAGAUUGCCGGUGGUGGAGACAGAAGACGGAGGUGACACAGAAGCAUAAAACAACACUCCUACUCACGAAGAAUUCACCCAGGAAGGCAGAAGAAAUAAAGAACAGAAAUAAAGGAAGGAAUACAUGAACAGGAAGGAUUUUCCUUUUCCCAGAGAAGACCUGAUUCUUGUAAAGGGCUUUAACAUGUUCAAAUACAUGACGGGUUUCGUCUUCACAGCGUUUUUUUUUUUUUUUUUUCCUUUUUCUCCCCAAAGCCCCCCGGUACAUAGUUGUAUAUUCUUCGUUGUGGGUCCUUCUAGUUGUGGCAGGUGGGAUGCCGCCUCAGCGUGGUUUGAUGAGCAGUGUCAUGUCCGCGCCCAGGAUUCGAACCAACGAAACACUGGGCCGCCUGCAGCGGAGCGCGCGGACUUAACCACUCGGCCACGGGGCCAGCCCCUCGUCUUCACAGCCUUUCGAGGGAGCUGCUUGUACACAUGAGAACAGUGAGGCUCGAGUUCACAUCCAUGAAAACCGUGGGCGGACCACAGUGCCCUCUGUGAAUCCAGACCUUGGGGCAGGCGAGGGAUAGGAAGAAGGGCUUCAGAACCCAAGCUGCCAUGCUGACGUGGACCCAAGGAGAGGCCCUCCUGGGCCAAGGACGAGGGUUGGGGUGAAUGACUCUGGGUUCAGAGACAGCUCUUGUUGCCUGGGUCAGGGGAAGGCACAGUGGGCGAACAGCGUGGAGGGGGAGAGGCCCACUGGCCUGGGGUCUCAGCUGGUCUUGGCCUCUCCCAUUUCUUCUGGUCUUAAGAAUCUGGAGGGGAGUCAAAUAACACUCUUCUCCAGGGAACAGCACCCCUCAUUCCACUGCCUACUCUGGGGACUCUGUCCCAGCCUUAUACUCAGGCCACUCAGAACCCCAGGCUCCAUCUUCCUCACUCAUCUGCUAAUUUAUGCAGACAUGGGC